RNAcentral lists this ribosomal RNA (497 nucleotides) under uncultured bacterium. RNAcentral describes it as "partial 16S ribosomal RNA". It matches the Rfam family "Bacterial small subunit ribosomal RNA", at positions 29 to 507 of the family's 1533-position model. The record is from RNAcentral.
AGUGAACGCUGGCGGCAGGCCUAAUACAUGCAAGUCGAGCGAACAGACGAUGAGCGCGCGCCUCUAACGUUGGCGGCUGACGGGUGGGUAACACGUAGAUAACCUACUUAUAAUACUGGGAUAACUUCGGGAAACCGCAGCUAAUACCGGAUAAUAUAUUGAACGGCAUAGUUCAAUAGUGAAUGACGGUUUUGCUGUCACUUAUAGAUGGAUCCGCGCCGCAUUAGCUAGUUGGUAAGGUAACGGCAUACCAAGGCAACGAUGCGUAGCCGACCUGAGAGGGUGAUCGGCCACACUGGAACUGAGACACGGUCCAGACUCCUACGGGAGGCAGCAGUAGGGAAUAUUGGGCAAUGGGCGAAAGCCUGACGGAGCAACGCCGCGUGAGUGAUGAAGGUCUUCGGGUCGUAAAGCUCUGUUAUUAGGGAAGAAAAAAUGUGUAAGUAAAUCUGGCCGUCUUGACGGUACCUAAUGAGAAAGCACCGGCUAACUACGUG